Molecule: ribosomal RNA, 570 nt
Filed under: Triticum aestivum (bread wheat)
Lineage: Eukaryota; Viridiplantae; Streptophyta; Magnoliopsida; Poales; Poaceae
Description: partial small subunit ribosomal RNA
Source: RNAcentral
AUGGCUACUCGUCCCGUGUCCUACGCCCUCCUCGUGCUCACGACCCUUCCCCUAGCCCUCGCCACCAGCUUCCCACACCGCGCUCUACUCCAGACAUGCCAGCCAAGCGGCACCAUCGCCGGCGAGUCCGGCAGCUGCAGCACGGAGAACGACUCCGAGUGCUGCGAAGACGGGCGGCGCUAUAGAACGUUCGCGUGCUCCCCGCGCGUCACGGGAAGGACCCGCGCCUCGCUCACGCUCAACAGCUUCGCCGACGGCGGGGACGGCGGCGGGAAGUCCGAGUGCGACGAGAGGUUCCACCCAGACUCCCAGAUGGUCGUCGCACUGUCGACCGGGUGGUUCGCCGGCGGGGGACGGUGCGGGAAGCGCGUCGUGAUCCGGGCCGCCAACGGGAGGACCGCCACGGCCACGGUGGUGGACGAGUGCGACUCGAAGCAUGGCUGCGACGAGGAGCACAACUUCGAGCCCCCGUGCGCGAACAACAUCGUCGACGGGUCGCCGGCCGUGUGGAAGGCGCUCGGGCUCGACACGGACGAUGGGGUGGUGCCGGUCACGUGGUCCGACGCGUGA